Molecule: ribosomal RNA, 116 nt
Filed under: Luma apiculata
Lineage: Eukaryota; Viridiplantae; Streptophyta; Magnoliopsida; Myrtales; Myrtaceae
Also listed under: 1 other name
Description: partial 18S ribosomal RNA
Rfam family: Eukaryotic small subunit ribosomal RNA (bases 1-85)
Source: RNAcentral
GCGAGAAGUCCACUGAACCUUAUCAUUUAGAGGAAGGAGAAGUCCUAACAAGGUUUCCGUAGGUGAACCUGCGGAAGGAUCAUUGUCGAAUCCUGCCCAGCAGAAUGACCAGAGAA